This 103-nucleotide microRNA precursor is filed under the name Marmota monax (woodchuck). Lineage: Eukaryota; Metazoa; Chordata; Mammalia; Rodentia; Sciuridae. The record is from RNAcentral.
AGGGGAAUAGCUGGGUCAAAUGGUGAUUCCAUUCCCAGCUUUCCAAGAAAUCUCCAUACUGCUUUCCAAAUUGGCUGCACCAAUUUGCAGUCCCACCAGCAAU